Xenia sp. Carnegie-2017 is the source of this 228-nucleotide long non-coding RNA. RefSeq lists it as uncharacterized. Lineage: Eukaryota; Metazoa; Cnidaria; Anthozoa; Malacalcyonacea; Xeniidae. The transcript is spliced from 3 exons. The record is from RefSeq and is a predicted model, not a curated record.
AAUCAUUUUGCUCCAAAAAUGAUUCAUUAUUCCUAUGUUGGAAUGUAUUGCAGACACAUUUUGGCAUCCAUCCACUUCAACAACAACUUAAGGCGUGAUGUAAAGAUGAAGAAUGAUGGCACUUUCCAAAUAAAUGUGGUGUAUCCAAAGUUUAAAAAUGGUGAAGGAACUGUGAGGGAUGUCAGAGUUAAGCCCAAAUUUGAGUAUGUGGAUGAAUUAUUUGAGAGU